Molecule: ribosomal RNA, 460 nt
Filed under: uncultured bacterium
Lineage: Bacteria
Description: partial 16S ribosomal RNA
Rfam family: Bacterial small subunit ribosomal RNA
Source: RNAcentral
CCUACGGGAGGCUGCAGUGAGGAAUAUUGGUCAAUGGGCGCUAGCCUGAACCAGCCAAGUAGCGUGAAGGAUGACUGCCCUAUGGGUUGUAAACUUCUUUUAUAUGGGAAUAAAGUGCAUUAUGUAUACUGCUUUGCAUGUACCUUAUGAAUAAGAAUCGGCUAACUCCUUGCCAGCAGCCGCGGUAAUACGGAGGAUCCGAUCGUUAUCCGGAUUUAGUGUGUUUAAAGGGAGCGUAGGCGGGUUGUUAAGUCAGUUGUGAAAGUUUGCGGCUCAACCGUAAAAUUGCAGUUGAUACUGGCAGCCUGGAGUACAGUAGAGGUAGGCGGAAUUCGUGGUGUAGCGGUGAAAUGCUGAGAGAUCACGAAGAACACCGAUUGCGAAGGCAGCCUGCUGGACUGUAACUGACGCUGAUGCUCGAAAGUGUGGGUAUCAAACAGGAUUAGAUACCCGUGUAGUC